RNAcentral lists this long non-coding RNA (472 nucleotides) under Heterocephalus glaber (naked mole-rat). Its description in RNAcentral is "lncRNA (ENSHGLG00000045454.1)". Lineage: Eukaryota; Metazoa; Chordata; Mammalia; Rodentia; Bathyergidae. The record is from RNAcentral.
UCUAGGAUAUUGUUUAGAAUUGCUUGUAGUGCUGGUUUGGUGUUCAUGAAAUUUCUCAGGUGUUCUUUGUCAUGGAAGUAUCUAAUUUCCCCAUCAAUUUUGAAAGAUAAUUUUGCAGGAUACAACAGUCUAGGUUGGAAGUUAUUUUCUUUUAGGGCUUGAAAUACUUCACUCGGGGCUCUCCUUGACUUGAGGGUUUGUGUUGAGAAGUCUGCUGUGAUUCUGAUGGGCUUUCCUUUAGAGGAUGUGGUGAAACUGGACUUGAUGUGCACCCAUGUGACUCUCUUCUGGGACCCCACACCCUCCUCGCUACAGGGUAUAAAGGAGCUCCAAACACUACCACACAUCUCACAAGAGUCCCACAGGUCCCCGCAGACAGCAAUGACUGCACUGCCGAUGAAGCCACCACUGCAAAGCUUCCAGACCAAUCGUGUGCUGCAGACUGAGAACAUGGGAAGGGUAUUUGGUAACA